Molecule: long non-coding RNA, 803 nt
Organism: Olea europaea var. sylvestris
Lineage: Eukaryota; Viridiplantae; Streptophyta; Magnoliopsida; Lamiales; Oleaceae
Exons: 2
Source: RefSeq, a predicted model, not a curated record
UCAAAUGUGCCUUUAACAAGUGGUGUAAAUAAAAACAAGAUUUUCCUUCUUCAACUUAGCCAAUUUAUUUGUCUGCAAAUCAAAUGGAAUUCCCCCCAAAUUGACACCCCAAACCCUCAUGACAUAUCUCAAAUUGAAACUUAUUCAUAUUGGGGGCAUAUCUCAAAUUAAAAGUGUGAAAAGCCAAACGCCUCAACUCCAAACCCUAAAUCCCAAAUCCAUUUCAUUCUCAUCGCUUUAUGCCCUUGAAAUCGCAAGAAGAUUUAGGCAAAAAACCAUUUACUUCAUUAAUCCAAAACUUGAAAUCGGUUUCCCCGUACCUGAAAUCGAUUUUCUCUAAUGUUGUGAUUCCAUUUUUACCAUACUUGACUUCCACAAACAGCUGGGAUUGAUUGCAGUUAUGUCAAGUGGAAUGACGAUUCAUCGGAGGAAAAGACUUUGCAAUUUGAAGUGUCGUGGACGAUCGAGAUGUGUUUGUUCGGGUUAAUCGAAGCGUAAAGAUCCGAUUGAAGAUUUGUCAUGUAUGUUGAAGAAAUGUGCUCAAAUAAUAGAACAAGAAGACAUCGAGAUAUCUCUCAACAUAAUAAUCCGCAACGAUACAGAGAGGAGAGAGGGAAAGGAAAGGGAAGAAUUUCGUGAAUUUCUUAUAGCUAUGUAAUUGAGUCAAUGACCUAUGUUGCAGUGGUCGAACUCAAUGUUUAUGUAAUAGGCUCUAAACUUGUUCUUAAUUUGCAACUUUCUAUGCUUUAUGAAUGGAUUGUUCAUGCUCUAGAUUACAAAGGUAUGAGCAGGUACUUCUACCG